RNAcentral lists this ribosomal RNA (809 nucleotides) under uncultured bacterium. RNAcentral describes it as "bacterial SSU rRNA". It matches the Rfam family "Bacterial small subunit ribosomal RNA", at positions 8 to 806 of the family's 1533-position model. The record is from RNAcentral.
AGAGUUUGAUCCUGGCUCAGAUUGAACGCUGGCGGCAUGCUUUACACAUGCAAGUCGGACGGCAGCACAGAGAAGCUUGCUUCUUGGGUGGCGAGUGGCGAACGGGUGAGUAACAUAUCGGAACGUACCGAGCAGUGGGGGAUAACUAAUCGAAAGAUUAGCUAAUACCGCAUAUAUUCUGAGGAAGAAAGCAGGGGACCAUUUGGCCUUGCGCUGUUUGAGCGGCCGAUAUCUGAUUAGCUAGUUGGUGGGGUAAAGGCCUACCAAGGCGACGAUCAGUAGCGGGUCUGAGAGGAUGAUCCGCCACACUGGGACUGAGACACGGCCCAGACUCCUACGGGAGGCAGCAGUGGGGAAUUUUGGACAAUGGGCGCAAGCCUGAUCCAGCCAUGCCGCGUGUCUGAAGAAGGCCUUCGGGUUGUAAAGGACUUUUGUCAGGGAAGAAAAGGCUGUUGCUAAUAUCGACAGCUGAUGACGGUACCUGAAGAAUAAGCACCGGCUAACUACGUGCCAGCAGCCGCGGUAAUACGUAGGGUGCGAGCGUUAAUCGGAAUUACUGGGCGUAAAGCGAGCGCAGACGGUUACUUAAGCAGGAUGUGAAAUCCCCGGGCUCAACCUGGGAACUGCGUUCUGAACUGGGUGACUAGAGUGUGUCAGAGGGAGGUAGAAUUCCACGUGUAGCAGUGAAGUGCGUAGAGAUGUGGAGGAAUACCGAUGGCGAAGGCAGCCUCCUGGGAUAACACUGACGUUCAUGCUCGAAAGCGUGGGUAGCAAACAGGAUUAGAUACCCUGGUAGUCCACGCCCUAAA